UGGGCGUAAGAGCUCGUAGGCGGUUUGUCGCGUCUGCCGUGAAAGUCCGGGGCUCAACUCCGGAUCUGCGGUGGGUACGGGCAGACUAGAGUGAUGUAGGGGAGACUGAAAUUCCUGGUGUAGCGGUGAAAUGCGCAGAUAUCAGGAGGAACACCGAUGGCGAAGGCAGGUCUCUGGGCAUUAACUGACGCUGAGGAGCGAAAGCAUGGGGAGCGAACAGGAUUAGAUACCCUGGUAGUCCAUGCCGUAAACGUUGGGCACUAGGUGUGGGGGACAUUCCACGUUUUCCGCGCCGUAGCUAACGCAUUAAGUGCCCCGCCUGGGGAGUACGGCCGCAAGGCUAAAACUCAAAGGAAUUGACGGGGGCCCGCACAAGCGGCGGAGCAUGCGGAUUAAUUCGAUGCAACGCGAAGAACCUUACCAAGGCUUGACAUGAACCGGAAACACCUGGAAACAGGUGCCCCGCUUGCGGUCGGUUUACAGGUGGUGCAUGGUUGUCGUCAGCUCGUGUCGUGAGAUGUUGGGUUAAGUCCCGCAACGAGCGCAACCCUCGUUCUAUGUUGCCAGCGCGUGAUGGCGGGGACUCAUAGGAGACUGCCGGGGUCAACUCGGAGGAAGGUGGGGACGACGUCAAAUCAUCAUGCCCCUUAUGUCUUGGGCUUCACGCAUGCUACAAUGGCCGGUACAAAGGGUUGCGAUACUGUGAGGUGGAGCUAAUCCCAAAAAGCCGGUCUCAGUUCGGAUU
This 745-nucleotide ribosomal RNA is filed under the name Arthrobacter sp. RNAcentral's name for it is "bacterial SSU rRNA". It matches the Rfam family "Bacterial small subunit ribosomal RNA", at positions 555 to 1299 of the family's 1533-position model. Lineage: Bacteria; Bacillati; Actinomycetota; Actinomycetes; Micrococcales; Micrococcaceae. The record is from RNAcentral.